AGAGUUGUGGCUCAGUGGUAGAGCACUUGCCUAGCAUGCAUGAGGCACUGGGUUUGAUCCCCGGCACUA
RNAcentral lists this transfer RNA (69 nucleotides) under Marmota marmota marmota (Alpine marmot). It matches the Rfam family "tRNA". Rfam says of the family: Transfer RNA (tRNA) molecules are approximately 80 nucleotides in length. Their secondary structure includes four short double-helical elements and three loops (D, anti-codon, and T loops). Further hydrogen bonds mediate the characteristic L-shaped molecular structure. tRNAs have two regions of fundamental functional importance: the anti-codon, which is responsible for specific mRNA codon recognition, and the 3' end, to which the tRNAs corresponding amino acid is attached (by aminoacyl-tRNA synthetases). tRNAs cope with the degeneracy of the genetic code in two manners: having more than one tRNA (with a specific anti-codon) for a particular amino acid; and 'wobble' base-pairing, i.e. permitting non-standard base-pairing at the 3rd anti-codon position. RNAcentral also lists the same sequence under 2 other names. Lineage: Eukaryota; Metazoa; Chordata; Mammalia; Rodentia; Sciuridae. The record is from Rfam by way of RNAcentral.